This 503-nucleotide ribosomal RNA is filed under the name Goniozus (sensu strictu) sp. 2 MC-2010. Its description in RNAcentral is "eukaryotic LSU rRNA". The record is from RNAcentral. Lineage: Eukaryota; Metazoa; Arthropoda; Insecta; Hymenoptera; Bethylidae.
GGGGAGAUUCAUCGUCAGCGGUGCAGGCUGCGCGAUGGCGUGCGAUGUCGCGGAUUACGGUCCGACGGCACGCGGUCGUCGUGUAUUGUCCGGCAACGUCGACGUGCACUUCUCCCCUUGUAGAACGUCGCGACCCGUUGGGUGUCGUUCUAAGGCUCGGAUGGAAGACUGUCUCGUCGCUUCGGCGCAUCGAGAUAGACCACCGAUCGCCAGUAACGGCUGCCCGGCGGUACACACAUGGUAUCGAGCCGCAUCAUAAUCGAUUGCGUCGGACCCGCCGCAAGCGCGGCCAGUGUUUUACCGGGAUUUCGGACCUAGCGCCGUCCCCGGUCCUGGCCAGCUGUUGGUUGGCGGUGUUCUCCGACUGGCCAAUAUACCGGUCAGCGACGCUACUGCUUUGGGUAAUCUCAGGACCCGUCUUGAAACACGGACCAAGGAGUCUAACAUGUACGCGAGUCAUUGGGCCCGCAUACCUAAAGGCAAAAUGAAAGUAAAGGUCGACC